AUAUGGUCGACCUGCAGGCGGCCGCGAAUUCACUAGUGAUUAGAGUUUGAUCAUGGCUCAGAACGAACGCUGGCGGCAUGCCUAACACAUGCAAGUCGAACGAACCCUUCGGGGUUAGUGGCGCACGGGUGCGUAACGCGUGGGAAUCUGCCCUUGGCUUCGGAAUAACAGUUAGAAAUGACUGCUAAUACCGGAUGAUGUCUUCGGACCAAAGAUUUAUCGGCCAGGGAUGAGCCCGCGUAGGAUUAGGUAGUUGGUGGGGUAAAGGCCUACCAAGCCGACGAUCCUUAGCUGGUCUGAGAGGAUGAUCAGCCACACUGGGACUGAGACACGGCCCAGACUCCUACGGGAGGCAGCAGUGGGGAAUAUUGGACAAUGGGCGCAAGCCUGAUCCAGCAAUGCCGCGUGAGUGAUGAAGGCCUUAGGGUCGUAAAGCUCUUUUACCCGGGAUGAUAAUGACAGUACCGGGAGAAUAAGC
Molecule: ribosomal RNA, 478 nt
Filed under: uncultured Alphaproteobacteria bacterium
Lineage: Bacteria; Pseudomonadati; Pseudomonadota; Alphaproteobacteria
Description: bacterial SSU rRNA
Rfam family: Bacterial small subunit ribosomal RNA
Source: RNAcentral